RNAcentral lists this microRNA precursor (78 nucleotides) under Schistosoma curassoni. RNAcentral describes it as "mir-3492 microRNA precursor family". It matches the Rfam family "mir-3492 microRNA precursor family". Lineage: Eukaryota; Metazoa; Platyhelminthes; Trematoda; Strigeidida; Schistosomatidae. The record is from Rfam by way of RNAcentral.
AGCUUUUUGAAUCCGUGUUGAGAUUUCGUCAGACACCAACCCAUUAGGACUGAUCAGACUUACAACAUAUGUGAAGUU